RNAcentral lists this ribosomal RNA (253 nucleotides) under uncultured bacterium. RNAcentral describes it as "partial 16S ribosomal RNA". It matches the Rfam family "Bacterial small subunit ribosomal RNA", at positions 524 to 776 of the family's 1533-position model. The record is from RNAcentral.
UACGUAGGGUGCAAGCGUUAAUCGGAAUUACUGGGCGUAAAGCGUGCGCAGGCGGUUAUGCAAGACAGAUGUGAAAUCCCCGGGCUUAACCUGGGAACCGCAUUUGUGACUGCAUAGCUGGAGUUCGGCAGAGGGGGAUGGAAUUCCGCGUGUAGCAGUGAAAUGCGUAGAUAUCUGAAGGAACAUCAGUGGCGAAAGCGACUUCCUGGACGAAUACUGACGCUCAUGUGCGAAAGCGUGGGGAGCAAACAGG